This 420-nucleotide ribosomal RNA is filed under the name uncultured archaeon. Its description in RNAcentral is "partial 16S ribosomal RNA". It matches the Rfam family "Archaeal small subunit ribosomal RNA", at positions 323 to 746 of the family's 1478-position model. The record is from RNAcentral.
CUACGGGGUGCUCCAGUUAGGAAUAAUCUACAAUGCACGAAAGUGUGAUAGUUUGAGCCAGAGUGCUUUACAAUCGUAAAGCUUUUGCCGAAUGUAAAAAGUUCGACGAAUAAGGACUGGGUAAGACGAGUGCCAGCCGCCGCGGUAAUACUCGCGGUCCAAGUCGCAGCCAUUUUUAUUGGGUCUAAAACAUCCGUAGCUUGCUUGUAAGUCUCUUGUGAAAUUCUGUCUCUUAAGGGCAGAGCGCGCAAGAGGUACUGCUGAGCUAGAGACUGGAAGACGUAAGAAGUACAUUCGAGGUAGCGGUUAAAUGUGUUGAUCUCAAGUGGACUAACGAUAGCGAAGGCAUCUUACGAGGACAGUUCUGACAGUAAGGGAUGAAGGCUAGGGGCGCAAAACGGAUUAGAUACCCGCGUAGUC